AAUAAAAAUAAAGAAACGGCUAAGGAGUGUAUAGGGUUUUAUCUUUAACCGUACGCGAAAUGAUCAUGUUGUUUUCUAAACUCUAACUUAGACCCCACAAAGCCCCCUUCAUAUUCAUUUCUGCCAAAAUUAGAUAAAAUGCAUAGCAGCUCAAAAGCUAACGUAUAUUCAUUCACAAAGGACCACGGCAGCGAGCUUUCCUAACAAAUUACUAAUAUACCCUUCUCUCCUAAUUGGACUCGUUGAAUGAUCGACUGUCGCGCUCGUCGACGGAGUCAUCACCGCCGGCGGUGGAGUUUCCGGCAAUGGAAAAUUUUCUCUCACUGAUCAGAUCUGCCUCCUCCUUGAAACUUCGCUCUCUCUCUUCCUCUAAUCUCUUAACCUUCAAUUCAAGCGACCUGCCAUAAUAACAAAAGAGUUAUCAGAUCUCAAAAGAGCUGCCAGCAAUUUACGAAUAAUCGGAUCUUUAGAAAGAAGCUUUGAGGAUUACACGAUCGAUACAUCACGUCGUUGAACCUCACGUCUAAGCUCUUCAACACGAAUCUUGCGGAGUUGAUCGAUGAUAGAGGAUGUGUCGUUUUGAGACAUGAAGCGUCGUUUAAGAUCAUUGUACUUAUCUUUACAGUUUUGAGAAGUAAGAGAAGGGAGAGUAGAAGUUCUGUUCUGUACUUCCAUGGCGAUUGAGUCCCAACUCUUGGUGCCGUGACGGUUAACGGCGCAGGCUAGUAAUAACUCCUCUAACGUACCCCAUGGUUGCACGCUCGUUUCUUGGUGGUGAUGUUGCCUAGCCAUAUGAAAUCUUUUCUCAUCUCGUCUCAUGUCAUCAUGAUUAUUGUUAUUAUUAUUAUUAUGUUUCGUUUAAAGCUUAAAGUUCAAUUUUUUGUGUACUAUGAAAUAUAAGAAAAGGAAAAUUAGGGUUUGAGUUUGCCGUA
Long non-coding RNA from Ricinus communis (castor bean), 932 nucleotides. RefSeq lists it as uncharacterized. Lineage: Eukaryota; Viridiplantae; Streptophyta; Magnoliopsida; Malpighiales; Euphorbiaceae. The record is from RefSeq and is a predicted model, not a curated record. The transcript has 2 exons.